This 73-nucleotide transfer RNA is filed under the name Schistosoma bovis. It matches the Rfam family "tRNA". Rfam says of the family: Transfer RNA (tRNA) molecules are approximately 80 nucleotides in length. Their secondary structure includes four short double-helical elements and three loops (D, anti-codon, and T loops). RNAcentral also lists the same sequence under 2 other names. The record is from Rfam by way of RNAcentral. Lineage: Eukaryota; Metazoa; Platyhelminthes; Trematoda; Strigeidida; Schistosomatidae.
ACGACCGUGGUGUAACGGCUAUCAUGGCUGCCUUGCGAGGCAGUCGACCCGGGUUCGACUCCCGGCGGUCGCG